GCAGGCUCGAAUUAGAUAUUACUUUACAGCAGAAUGGGAAGACUGUAAUAACUGAUACGUGGCAUGUAGUUUUUCUGGUGUGGGUGCAGUAUUCAGGAAAAAAAAGGGUGUGUUGAAUGAGUUGGCAGAUUUAGUCAUAAUCUGCUCCACCAUUGAGCUGGCAGAUUUGAUUAUAAUCUGCUCCACAAAUAAAGCUGGCAGAUUUG
Molecule: unclassified non-coding RNA, 206 nt
Filed under: Hevea brasiliensis (rubber tree)
Lineage: Eukaryota; Viridiplantae; Streptophyta; Magnoliopsida; Malpighiales; Euphorbiaceae
Source: RNAcentral